UACGUAGGGUGCGAGCGUUGCCCGGAUUUAUUGGGCGUAAAGGGCGCGUAGGCGGCCACGCAACGUCCGUUGUGAAAUCGCCCGGCUCAACUGGGCGGGGUCGGCGGAUACGGCGUGGCUGGAGCAAGCUAGGGGGCAAUGGAAUUCCCGGUGUAGUGGUGGAAUGCGUAGGAUAUCGGGAGGAACACCAGUGGCGAAGGCGGGUUGCCUGGAGCUUUGCUGGACGCUGAGGCGCGAAAGCGUGGGGGAGCAAACAGGG
This 259-nucleotide ribosomal RNA is filed under the name uncultured bacterium. RNAcentral's name for it is "partial 16S ribosomal RNA". It matches the Rfam family "Bacterial small subunit ribosomal RNA", at positions 524 to 777 of the family's 1533-position model. The record is from RNAcentral.